Molecule: ribosomal RNA, 999 nt
Filed under: Staphylococcus aureus
Lineage: Bacteria; Bacillati; Bacillota; Bacilli; Caryophanales; Staphylococcaceae
Description: partial 23S ribosomal RNA
Rfam family: Bacterial large subunit ribosomal RNA
Source: RNAcentral
CAGGGAGGACCAUCUCCUAAGGCUAAAUACUCUCUAGUGACCGAUAGUGAACCAGUACCGUGAGGGAAAGGUGAAAAGCACCCCGGAAGGGGAGUGAAAUAGAACCUGAAACCGUGUGCUUACAAGUAGUCAGAGCCCGUUAAUGGGUGAUGGCGUGCCUUUUGUAGAAUGAACCGGCGAGUUACGAUUUGAUGCAAGGUUAAGCAGUAAAUGUGGAGCCGUAGCGAAAGCGAGUCUGAAUAGGGCGUUUAGUAUUUGGUCGUAGACCCGAAACCAGGUGAUCUACCCUUGGUCAGGUUGAAGUUCAGGUAACACUGAAUGGAGGACCGAACCGACUUACGUUGAAAAGUGAGCGGAUGAACUGAGGGUAGCGGAGAAAUUCCAAUCGAACCUGGAGAUAGCUGGUUCUCUCCGAAAUAGCUUUAGGGCUAGCCUCAAGUGAUGAUUAUUGGAGGUAGAGCACUGUUUGGACGAGGGGCCCUCUCGGGUUACCGAAUUCAGACAAACUCCGAAUGCCAAUUAAUUUAACUUGGGAGUCAGAACAUGGGUGAUAAGGUCCGUGUUCGAAAGGGAAACAGCCCAGACCACCAGCUAAGGUCCCAAAAUAUAUGUUAAGUGGAAAAGGAUGUGGCGUUGCCCAGACAACUAGGAUGUUGGCUUAGAAGCAGCCAUCAUUUAAAGAGUGCGUAAUAGCUCACUAGUCGAGUGACACUGCGCCGAAAAUGUACCGGGGCUAAACAUAUUACCGAAGCUGUGGAUUGUCCUUUGGACAAUGGUAGGAGAGCGUUCUAAGGGCGUUGAAGCAUGAUCGUAAGGACAUGUGGAGCGCUUAGAAGUGAGAAUGCCGGUGUGAGUAGCGAAAGACGGGUGAGAAUCCCGUCCACCGAUUGACUAAGGUUUCCAGAGGAAGGCUCGUCCGCUCUGGGUUAGUCGGGUCCUAAGCUGAGGCCGACAGGCGUAGGCGAUGGAUAACAGGUUGAUAUUCCUGUACCACCUAUA